AUCAUUGCUGUGUCUUCCCAAAAUGAUGCUGCAUCUUUGAACUUCUUCCUGAACAAAGCUCUUCUUGUCUUCUGCUAGGCUCUGCAUUGGCGAUUGAAGGAACAGCGCCUGACUAAUGACACUGGACAGCAAGGAAAUCCAGUUGUCCUGGAAGAGCAGGCAGUAUUGAAGGAGGUUUCAGAAGGGAAGUCAAGGGGCUGUCCUGUGGAAACAUGGCAGGAGUAUCACCCUGAAGGCGUGGAAAAGAUCUCUGCCACCUAACCAGGCUGUUGAAAUGUCAGAUGGUAAAAACAACCAAGAGUUCCAGAUGGGGCAGUCAGAAGAGAAACAUGCCGAAGAUGGUAAUGGGAAAGUUCUGGAUUCUCUCAGCUGGGAGUCCCAUGUCCUCACCUGUGACUUCCCAAACCAAUCACUGUGCAAGCCUUACGCAAAGCAGUAUGCCUUGAGGAAGUUCUUCAUAACCAGGAAAACCGACCCAUUAGCCCAGCACGCGGAGCUCCCCCUCACUGCAGCGGCCAGACAGCUUUUUGGAGGCCUGGCAGACGCAACCUGGGCCAGCACCCUCACUUCAGCACGUGUGGCCAUCAUCCACUGCUUGGUGCAGCAUGUCACGUCUGUGUCUGCAGCGCGUUGUGGACUGACAGAAAUAACGAGAAGGAGCAAGUGCACUGCUCAUGUCCUCCUACCUGCUACUCUGCAGAUGGGACUUCACCAUGCUGAGCAGCUCCUGAGCACAGCAAAUCUUUCUCACCCACUUCAACUGUGUUAGCUGCUUCUUCAUCCCAGAGAUGCAUCUGGAGAAGUGAGUACCAGGGAGGGGAUGGCAGCAGCAAGAGGCUGAGUGCCUUGGCUAAGUGUACAGCUGCCUGGGCUCUGCCAUUGCUUUCAACUUUUUCCAAUUCUGGGAUCCAUCUAGUACAAAGCGCUAUGGAAAUCCCUGCCAUGGGCAUUUGGACACUCCAUGCAUUAAUCUAACACAUUACAGCAAUAGAAUUUCCUGUCCUCUCUCAAGGACCAGAGCUGCAGGAGUUGAGGUAAGUGGGUUUGGCGUUACUUGCUUCCACUGUAUAUCUCCUCAAUUCAAACAUUUAGGAGGGCUCUUAUGUAUGGCAGCAGUGUCUGGACAAUUGUGAACUGCUACAGUGAGGGAAACUGCAUAGCCUAAAACAGAAUGGCCAGUCCUAGGAAACUGGGCUGGGAGCACCAACUCUGGCAUUUCAGCUGCCGCAGGUGGGCCAGGUAAUCACCAGGAGGUGGCAUCCAUCCCCCAGAGAUGCCCCAGCCCUGCUGGGCAUGGUGCCAGUUCUUAUCUAGGAGCCUUGUUUCUUCUCGUGGUGUUUUUUUUUAUUAUUAUUAUUUUUUUCUUUUUUAUUUAUUACAUGCUAGGUCUCUGAAGAGGUUCUGCAGUUGGGGUAUUUGGGGCCAGCCAGGUCCUGGUCUGCAGGCUGGAGGUGGGAAGUGCCGCCACCUCGCCGUGCUGCCACCACGUUCCAGUUCUGAGUCAUUCCCUUGCUUGUUUAUUUUUGGUGUUUAUUUAUUUACCACCGAGGUGUCAGCCCAGAGCAGGCUGGCUGUGCCGAACUCCUCUGGUGGUAUCGUGGCUGCUGCCAGCUCUAUCCAAGUCUUGCUGCGGUGGGAGCAAUCUCCCAUCAAACAUGUGCUCGACUCCAGGUAACGAGUGUGGUAGCGCAGGGUAAACUUCUUUUGCCCUCCCCGUGGAGCCCUUGGCUCCCAGCUCUCUCCCUGAGCCAGCUGUGGGGGGUGGAGGGAGGUUAAGAGGCAUAUCCUUUGCUGUAAUUAUAUCCUGUUGCUAGAGAUAUUGUGCUCUGCUUAAAGAAAUCAUCAUAAUACAGUCUCCCGGAGAAGGUAAUUACUGUGCAUCUUAUGAAUGGCUGCCUGUGAAUGUCUGCUCAAGCUGCUGUCAGCAGCAAGUUUCAACACAUCUUACAUACCAGGCAUUUCACAGCCUUAGUUUUAUUUGUUUUCAUCACCCCUUGCCUUGUGCUUUAUUUUUCAUUAAUGGAUCUGUUUUUUUGUUUGUGGUGGUGGUGUUUUUUUAUUUAUUUAUUUUAAAAAAGAAGAAGAAGAAAAAAAAAAGAAAAAAAGGCCAGAGUUCAUGUCUUUGAUGGAGCGUUUGGGUGGUGGCUGCAGCUUUUAUUUGCUGCAUUUCCAUUGCUCUGUGGUGGCUUGAGGGGAACUCUCUGGAAGAUGCUGUUUCCCAGCAGUUUCCAUAUGGUAGCAUCUAACUGGGCCCUAGUUUCCUAGUCUGAGCCCAGAAAAAAUGAACCGUACUGCUGUUGACAAAAGUCGGCGUCACUCUAUCACUAGCAUAACCACACAGAUUUAAGACCAUGAGACAAUUUAUUUUUCUUCUUCCAAUUUCCCAGUUUCUCCUCUGUACUGAAAAGGAGUUGGCGACUAUCCCACCUGCUCCCAAACAGGGCUGUCAGACCUUUCAGGUUUCUGAACGGUCCUCUGAAUCAAAUCAUAUCUUAUGCCCUCAAUCUGCCUGCCACUGGCACUGAUGCUCCCCCACCUUAGUUAGGCAAUAAGUGUUGAAGUUUUCAAACCUGGUAACGUCUAUGUGAAGAUUGUGUAUGAAUGAGCCAGAUCCAUUAACUUUCUCAGAGAUGUUUGAGGUAGAGCAAUGAGGGAAUGCCAAUGGAGUGCUGGUUUGUCACAGCAGGGGAGCGAUCAAGCUACUCUUCCUUUCCCAAAAUUCCCUGAUGUUUGCCUUUCCCCAGCAGUACUUGUGCUUAUAGGGCCACAGUGUGUGAUUGUGGCACCCUGCAUGGCUGUGAAAACAUCGUGUCCAUCUCCUGGCCAGCUCAAGCAAGAUUUGAAACUGCUGCUUGGAUUGCUUCCUGGUGUACAUGGCUGGGGCUUGCUCUUGCAAUGCUGAAGCUGAAUUGUUUCAGUACCCUCAACGAUUUGUUUUGUUUGUGGCCAGGCUUCUGUGCACGCUGAGCAUCCACUACGUUGCAUUCAGAGGUGGCUCCUUCCCCGUGCUGUGCAGAGCAUCAAGUCUGUCUCUCUCGGUGAUUCCUGGUGAAGCCUGAAACGCAGCCUGGCUCCUGCAGGAUGGAAGGUGCUGUAAUAAAUGUGAGCUCAUAAUGCUGUUGUUAAAAAUAACUGGGGCUAAAUUAAAAAGAAGAAAAUCAUCUUAUUCAGCCCUCCCCCAGGGGAGAAAUG
Molecule: long non-coding RNA, 3192 nt
Organism: Cairina moschata (Muscovy duck)
Lineage: Eukaryota; Metazoa; Chordata; Aves; Anseriformes; Anatidae
Source: Ensembl